AGACCUGCACCAGGCUGGGAAGACUGAAUCUGCAAUAGGUGUAAUCCAUCACGCUCUGGACACAGCCUGGGAUGGGAAAGGACUGGCUUUAAUGGCUGUGUGACCAGACUGAUCAACCAGGAGAAACCACAUCUUCGUUUUUAAAAGCAUUCCUGUGAGGCUAAGUCGCAAGAGUUCCAGUCAAGUGGAAUGGGUGCAGGAACGGAGCGGAGGAGCUAUUUUCAGCCAGCCAAGACCCAGGAGUUGUCCGUUCUGAGCACAAGCACUUCAGCUGUCUGAAAACUCACAAGAACCCUGCAGCCCACUGGGACUGAUUACUUUAUCAAACUGUUUCAAGAUAUGCACUCUGCAUGCCAUAGGGUUCACUGAAAGGAGGGGGAUAUAGCAGGAGCAGUGUACCUUAUAGGGACAGUUUUUAAUGACUACGAGACUUACAUAACAGAAACAACUUGUAGCCCUUUCCUGCAGUCAAAUUACCUAUGGGUGGAAUGUUAUUCAUAUUUUUCAGCCUUUUAUCAU
This is a long non-coding RNA of Salvelinus sp. IW2-2015, 519 nucleotides long. RefSeq lists it as uncharacterized. The record is from RefSeq and is a predicted model, not a curated record. NCBI's taxonomy places the organism in Eukaryota, Metazoa, Chordata, Actinopteri, Salmoniformes, Salmonidae.